Molecule: non-coding RNA, 1523 nt
Organism: Leptonychotes weddellii (Weddell seal)
Lineage: Eukaryota; Metazoa; Chordata; Mammalia; Carnivora; Phocidae
Source: RefSeq, a predicted model, not a curated record
CCCGCGCGCCCGGCCGCGUCGCCCCCGGCCCUGCGGCCCCGCAGACAGCGGACCCCGCCCCCAAAGGGGGGACCAGGUAACCUGCUUCCGAGAGUGCCACGGCGACCCCAAACCGCUCCCCCCCAAGUCGUAGUAAAUCUCACGUUUUCUGCCGGCUGGGAAGGAAGGAUUGGAGCGGUGAGGGGAGGUUCAUUUCGGCCGCUUGAAGUUUUCUUUCAAACUGGGAUUUGUGACGAGGCCGGGCGAAGGGAGCGGGACGACGAUUCAGCGCCCGCCGCGGAGCUCAGGCAUCGGCGUCCUGGCCGGAGCCGGGGUGUGCGCGUGGACCCACCCACUCGGGCUUCGCAAUUAACUAUGCGGUACAAUUUCAGAAAACGGCACCGGGGAGACCGGGACACGAAUCACGAUGAAUUGAGGGAAUGAAUUGAGAAGGAAAUUCAGGUCUGAGAUGAAGCUCAACUAUUUUGAAAGUGCUUUACCGUGCAAGUUUAAAAUUAGAGUGUUUACUUGCUUUUGCUCCCCAGGGCUUGUGCCGCAUUCACCAAAGUCAAAGGAACGGGUGAGGGUCCAAAAAGUUGGUACGAGGGAAGUGUUGCCGUCAAUAUCAUCAGAUCAUGGUAUGUCCAACUCACCCCAAAGAAGUCAAGGUUAUGUUUAUAUACUAAAACCAGGGGUUCUAUUUCAUCCUCUGCAGUUGAAUCAUCCCGGCUCUGAGACUCACAAUUUUUCUUGUAGAAAGGAACCUUUGUAUAAACUGUAGUAAUUCACUGAGUUCACAAUUUUUCUCUACAGUAUUUUUAUAGUGGUUAGAGGGUAUAUUUAUUUCCAUCCUUUGCUGUAACUACGCAACACACAUUUUAAAAGUACAUAUAUGGUUAUACUAUGGAUAAAAAUGGAUCACUAGGGAAGUGCAGUACCAUAUAAAUAUUCACUUUGGGAAGUUAGUGAGGAGGUGGGGAGAAAACAUACCCACACCCACCAUUUUUCAAACAGCUGCUUCUUUUUCAUCCUUUCUGUCCCAUCCUACCAGAAACUGUGCCAACCCAGCACCAACACUUAUCUUAGCUCUUUGCACAUUUCUUUCAAUAUACGAUUUGUAAAUUUUUUUUAUUGGUUGAGUUCUAAAAGAAAAUCUGUCUCCCCCACUAGAAUGUCAUCUUUGUCUUAUGUCUGUCCUGCUAACAAUUGUUUUCUCAGAACUAGCACAGUGUUUGGCAUGUCGGUACUCAAUAAACUUUUACUAAAUGGAUGAAUAGCUAAUCACAUACUCACGUAGCUUCGUGUGUUAAACUGUUUUUAAGGGACAAAAAGGGUAGGAUAACAAAGAUAUAUUCUAAUUCCAUAAAGAUUUUGGUCAAGUCUUGGCUCGUAAGUAAUGUUAACAAACAUCAUUAACAGGUCAACUCUCUGGCUAUGUCCACGUGAAGAAUGUGAAUACCUUGCUAAAUAAUAUAACUUAUAAAGAGGAAGAGUGGUUAAAAUUGUACAUCAAAUAUAAUUUCGAAUAAAAUGCAUUUAUGUGA